CCCCUCUCAGGAUUGCACCUGGUGAGUUUCCAAUAUCCUACCAGUCUCAGCUUUGGGAGGGAGAGUCAAGCAGAGGCAUACCCAUUCCAUUCUUAGCUUGGACAGUGGCUAGCGAGUGGAAGGCAAUCUGCUACAAGU
Tachyglossus aculeatus (Australian echidna) is the source of this 138-nucleotide small nucleolar RNA. The record is from RefSeq and is a predicted model, not a curated record. NCBI's taxonomy places the organism in Eukaryota, Metazoa, Chordata, Mammalia, Monotremata, Tachyglossidae.